AGCUAGUUGACGAGUCCUAAAUAGGACGAAAUGUGCGCUGUCCUGGAU
This 48-nucleotide non-coding RNA is filed under the name Trichobilharzia regenti. Lineage: Eukaryota; Metazoa; Platyhelminthes; Trematoda; Strigeidida; Schistosomatidae. The record is from RNAcentral.